CGACCGGCGCACAGGUGAGUAACACGUAUGCAACCUGGCCGUGACAGAUGGAUAACCGGGAGAAAUCCCGCCUAAUACAACAUAAUGCCGGGAGGGGACAUCCCCUGCCGGCCAAAGGGGGCGACCCCGGUCACGGAUGGGCAUGCGGCGCAUUAGGUAGUUGGUGGGGCAACGGCCCACCAAGCCGACGAUGCGUAGGGGUUCUGAGAGGAAGGUCCCCCACAUUGGAACUGAGACACGGUCCAAACUCCUACGGAAGGCAGCAG
This 266-nucleotide ribosomal RNA is filed under the name uncultured bacterium. Its description in RNAcentral is "partial 16S ribosomal RNA". It matches the Rfam family "Bacterial small subunit ribosomal RNA", at positions 92 to 354 of the family's 1533-position model. The record is from RNAcentral.